This 305-nucleotide ribosomal RNA is filed under the name uncultured bacterium. RNAcentral describes it as "bacterial SSU rRNA". It matches the Rfam family "Bacterial small subunit ribosomal RNA", at positions 333 to 636 of the family's 1533-position model. The record is from RNAcentral.
UGUAUCCUACGGGGCGCAGCAGUGAGGAAUAUUGGUCAAUGGGCGCGAGCCUGAACCAGCCAAGUCGCGUGAGGGAUGACGGUCCCAUGGAUUGUAAACCUCUUUUGUCAGGGAGCAAAGUCACCCACGUGUGGGUGUUGGAGAGUACCUGAAGAAAAAGCAUCGGCUAACUCCGUGCCAGCAGCCGCGGUAAUACGGAGGAUGCGAGCGUUAUCCGGAUUUAUUGGGUUUAAAGGGUGCGUAGGCGGGUUAUCAAGUCAGCGGUAAAAUCGUGGAGCUCAACUCCAUCCAGCCGUUGAACCUGA